GCACCCGUAGCUCAGCUGGAUAGAGCGCUGGCUUGCGGAGCCAGAGGUCAUAGGUUCGACUCCUGUCGGGUGCACCA
RNAcentral lists this transfer RNA (77 nucleotides) under Candidatus Peregrinibacteria bacterium. Its description in RNAcentral is "tRNA-Arg". It matches the Rfam family "tRNA". From Rfam's summary of the family: Transfer RNA (tRNA) molecules are approximately 80 nucleotides in length. Lineage: Bacteria; Candidatus Peregrinibacteriota. RNAcentral also lists the same sequence under 1 other name. The record is from RNAcentral.